GAUGAACGCUGGCGGCGUGCUUAACACAUGCAAGUCGAACGGGAAUGUUUCGCUGAUGCGAUUUCGGUCAAAUCUUGAAGCAUUUUAGUGGCGGACGGGUGAGUAACGCGUGGGUAACCUGCCCUGUACAGGGGGACAACAGUUGGAAACGACUGCUAAUACCGCAUAAGCGCACAGCUUCGCAUGAAGCAGUGUGAAAAACUCCGGUGGUACAGGAUGGACCCGCGUCUGAUUAGAUAGUUGGUGAGGUAACGGCCCACCAAGUCAACGAUCAGUAGCCGGCCUGAGAGGGCGAACGGCCACAUUGGGACUGAGACACGGCCCAAACUCCUACGGGAGGCAGCAGUGGGGAAUAUUGCACAAUGGGGGAAACCCUGAUGCAGCGACGCCGCGUGAGUGAAGAAGUAUUUCGGUAUGUAAAGCUCUAUCAGCAGGGAAGAAA
This 442-nucleotide ribosomal RNA is filed under the name uncultured bacterium. RNAcentral's name for it is "bacterial SSU rRNA". It matches the Rfam family "Bacterial small subunit ribosomal RNA", at positions 28 to 450 of the family's 1533-position model. The record is from RNAcentral.